RNAcentral lists this ribosomal RNA (1830 nucleotides) under Epistylis wuhanensis. RNAcentral's name for it is "partial large subunit ribosomal RNA". It matches the Rfam family "Eukaryotic large subunit ribosomal RNA", at positions 23 to 1874 of the family's 3401-position model. The record is from RNAcentral. Lineage: Eukaryota; Ciliophora; Oligohymenophorea; Sessilida; Epistylidae.
ACCCGCUGGAUUUAAGCAUAUCAGUAAGCGGAGGAAAAGAAAAUAACAAUGAUUACCUCAGUAGCGGCGAGUGAAGAGGUAAAAGCCCAAGAUGAAAAUCUGUGUUAAAGACAUAGAAUUGUAAUCUAUGGAAUCAAUCAGAAAGCGGAAGCCUGCCAUAAGUCCCUUGGAACAGGGCGCCAGAGAGGGUGAAAGCCCCGUCUUAGGGUAGGAAGAAGCAAUAUGAAAGGUUUCUAAGAGUCGGGUAGUUUGGGAAUGCUGCCCUAAGAGGGAGAUAAACUUCUCCUAAGGCUAAAUAUUUAUAGGAGACCGAUAGAAUACAAGUACUGCGAAGGAAAGAUGAAAAGAACUUUGAAAAGAGGGUUAAAAGACUUGAAAUCGUUGAAAAGGAAGCAGUAAAAGAGAAAUGAUUUGCAGGUGAAUAAGGCUAGGAAUAGAUAAAAACGUACGUAAAAGGCGUUGGAGUCGAAAAAAAACUAGUUUUUUUACAGGCAAUAGACAAAAUGAGGGUGGGCUGUAAAAAUAAGGUUAAGAGUGAAUUCUCCGACUGGAAUUUACAGGCCAGCCUGAGGGAUCGGAAGAUGAUUUUGUCAAAAUGGCUUUUACUGACCCGUCUUGAAACACGGACCAAGGAGUCUACCUAUUAUGCGAGUGUUGGGGUGGAAAAACCCAAACGCAAACCGAAAGGGAUUAAAGAUGUGAGGCGAAAGCUGCAACAUCAACCAAUCUUGAUUCUACGAAGAAAGACUUGAGUAAGAGCAUAAUCGGUAGGACCCGAAAGAUGGUGAACUACGGUUGAGUAGGGUGAAGCCAGGGGAAACUCUGGUGGAGGCUCGAAGCGUUACUGACGUGCAAAUCGUUCGUCAAACUUGACUGUAGGGGCGAAAGACUAAUCGAACCAUCUAGUAGCUGGUUCCCUCUGAAAUUUCUCUCAGGAUAGCAGGAACAGAUAAAGCAGUUUUAUCAGGUAAAGCUAAUGAUUAGUGGAAUCGGGGGUCUCCGAUCCUUGACCAAUUCUCAAACUUUAAAUUGGUAAGAACCAGAAGUUUUCUUAAUUGAACUUUUGGGAAGAAUGCAGUGUUCUUAGUGGGCCAUUUUUGGUAAGCAGAACUGGCGAUGAGGGAUGAACCUAACGUUGAGAUAAGGUGCCAAAAUUCACGCUCAUCAGGCACCAGAAAAGGCGUUGGUUAGUUUAAACAGCCGGACUGUGGCCAUGGAAGUCGGCACCAGCUAAGGAGUGUGUAACAACUCACCAGCCGAAUUAACCAGCCCUGAAAAUUGAUGGCGCUAAGCGUGAUACCGAUACUCAACCAUCAUAGCAAAUAGAAGCAAUGAUGAGUAAGAGGGCGUGAAGACUGUGUAGAAGGCUUGGAUGUGAAUCUGGCUGGAACAGUCUUUAGUGCAGAUCUUGGUGGUAGUAGCAAAUAUUCAAAUGAGAACUUUGAAGACCGAAGUGGAGAAGGGUUCCAUGAGAACAGCAUUUGGUCAUGGGUUACUCGAUCCUAAGACAUAGGGAAAUUCCUUGUAAUACGUUUGCACUUACGUGCAUGUAGUCAAAAGGGAAUGAGGUUCAUAUUCCUCAAGCUGGAUGUGGGAGCUAUGUGGUAACACAAACAAGCUCGGAGACAUCGGUAUGGGCAACUGGAAGAGUUCUCUUUUCUUCUUAACAGUCUAUCUCCCUGAAAGGAUUAUCCAGAGCUAGGGAUAUAAGGCUGGCAGAGCAGUUCUCCAUUGAAUUGUCAGUGAAGCUCAUAACGAUCCUUGAAAAUCCGAGUAAGAUUAUCUCAUCACACCAGGUCGUACCCAUAACCGCAUCAGGUCUCCAAGGUU